RNAcentral lists this ribosomal RNA (469 nucleotides) under uncultured bacterium. RNAcentral describes it as "partial 16S ribosomal RNA". It matches the Rfam family "Bacterial small subunit ribosomal RNA", at positions 28 to 507 of the family's 1533-position model. The record is from RNAcentral.
GACGAACGCUGGCGGCGUGCUUAACACAUGCAAGUCGAACGGAAAGGCCCUGCUUGCAGGGUGCUCGAGUGGCGAACGGGUGAGUAACACGUGGGUGAUCUGCCCCUUACUUUGGGAUAAGCCUGGGAAACUGGGUCUAAUACUGGAUAGGACCAUGCUGUAGGUGGUGUGGUGGAAAGAUUAGUUUCGGUAAGGGAUGAGCUCGCGGCCUAUCAGCUUGUUGGUGGGGUAAUGGCCUACCAAGGCGUCGACGGGUAGCCGGCCUGAGAGGGUGGACGGCCACAUUGGGACUGCGAUACGGCCCAGAAUCCUACGGGAGGCAGCAGUGGGGAAUAUUGCACAAUGGGCGCAAGCCGGAUGCAGCGACGCCGCGUGGGGGAUGACGGCCUUCGGGUUGUAAACUCCUUUCAGCCAUGACGAAGCCCUUGUGGUGACGGUAGUGGUAGAAGAAGCACCGGCUAACUACGUG